GAACGGCAGCGCGGGGCAACCUGGCGGCGGGUGGCGAACGGGUGAGUAAUAUAUCGGAACGUACCCUGGAGUGGGGGAUAACGUAGCGAAAGUUACGCUAAUACCGCAUACGAUCUAAGGAUGAAAGUGGGGGAUCGCAAGACCUCAUGCUCCUGGAGCGGCCGAUAUCUGAUUAGCUAGUUGGUAGGGUAAAAGCCUACCAAGGCAUCGAUCAGUAGCUGGUCUGAGAGGACGACCAGCCACACUGGAACUGAGACACGGUCCAGACUCCUACGGGAGGCAGCAGUGGGGAAUUUUGGACAAUGGGCGCAAGCCUGAUCCAGCAAUGCCGCGUGAGUGAAGUAGGCCUUCGGGUUGUAAAGCUCUUUUGUCAGGGAAGAAACGGUGGGGGCUAAUAUCCUCCACUAAUGACGGUACCUGAAGAAUAAGCACCGGCUAACUACGUG
This 446-nucleotide ribosomal RNA is filed under the name uncultured bacterium. RNAcentral's name for it is "bacterial SSU rRNA". It matches the Rfam family "Bacterial small subunit ribosomal RNA", at positions 64 to 507 of the family's 1533-position model. The record is from RNAcentral.